Molecule: ribosomal RNA, 460 nt
Filed under: uncultured bacterium
Lineage: Bacteria
Description: bacterial SSU rRNA
Rfam family: Bacterial small subunit ribosomal RNA
Source: RNAcentral
GAUGAACGCUAGCGGUGUGCCUAAUGCAUGCAAGUCGAACGGGAUCCUUUGGAUUCGUCUGAAGGUGAGAGUGGCGAACGGGUGAGUAACACGUAGGUGACCUGCCCCGGAGAGGGGGACAACCACUGGAAACGGUGGCUAAUACCCCAGAUGUUAUUGCGCUUAGAAAGCAAUUACUAAAGUUCCGGCGCUCCGGGAGGGGCCUGCGGCCCAUCAGCUUGUUGGUAAGGUAAUGGCUUACCAAGGCUAAGACGGGUAGGGGGCGUGAGAGCGUGACCCCCCACACUGGUACUGAGACACGGACCAGAUACCUGCGGGUAGCAGCAGCAAGGAAUAUUGCCCAAUGGACGAAAGUCUGAGGCAGCAACACCGCGUGGAGGAUGAAGGCCUUCGGUUGUAACUCCUUUCUGGGGAAGAGAAAGGACGGUACCCCAGGAAUAAGUACUCGGCUAACUACGUG